AAUUACUAUAAUGUGACGGUAUCCCUAUCAGAUUCAUAACAUGAUUAUCGGUAAUAGACGUCGAUAUUCUGAGCCCGUUUUUAGGGGAGCUACCCACUCUACAAUCUAUAGUACCGUAGUUGGAAUACCGGCCCCUCCGUAUUCUCGUGUCUACUCGACCGAUAACCAUAUUAAGAUUUUGACUUUCCUAUACUCGACCAUGCAAUACCAUAAAUGACAAAUCAUGCAACUCCAAUAAUAUAACCAUGUUAGAUCAAACUUGCACUUAGCAUAAAACGCGUAACCAUAUAACACAUAACCAAAUAGCUAACAAACGUAUUCAAACCAUUUUCUCCUUUAGAGUUUCUUCUUCAAAUAACUCACAUAAUCAAUUCAAAUUGCAUAAAUAAACAUUCUUAUAAUUCACAUAUAUUAUGCAACGUACACGUACCACAUACAAGAGGUAUCACAUACAAGAGAAGGGGAUUAUCAUAUUAUUUCAUAUAACCACUUUCAUAGUUAUAACAUACCAACGUGAUUAUCUUAAAUGCAUCAUUCAUGCGUUUUCUAGGUUAUACAUUUAUUUUAACAUAUAAGCAUACGAUAAUCAUAAUAGCACAUACGCACAU
This 608-nucleotide long non-coding RNA is filed under the name Erythranthe guttata (spotted monkey flower). Its description in RNAcentral is "long non-coding RNA (EGUT_LNC002868)". Lineage: Eukaryota; Viridiplantae; Streptophyta; Magnoliopsida; Lamiales; Phrymaceae. The record is from RNAcentral.